This 295-nucleotide long non-coding RNA is filed under the name Bos indicus x Bos taurus (hybrid cattle). RNAcentral describes it as "lncRNA (ENSBIXG00000007127.1)". The record is from RNAcentral. Lineage: Eukaryota; Metazoa; Chordata; Mammalia; Artiodactyla; Bovidae.
UAAAAUAUGAUGAUUAAUGAUGAAUGAACUUUGCCUGGUAGAAAUACGAAGGGCACACCAGGCUGAGAGAAGUGCUUGUGGAAAAACACUCAGAGGCUCCAGAGGCUCCUGGUGCAGGGCAGGAGGAUUUGCAGAGGGAGCUGUGGGCAGUGACGUUGCAGAAGAAAGAAGGGCCAGAAUAGGAGGACUCGAAAGGGGACACCUGGGAGGACUGUCACUGGGGACCUGUGAGUUUCCCAGGGUCAGAGGUGCCAACUUCACAGACACAGCUUCAGAAAAGCACCCACGUGACUGA